GGGCUGCAGCUCAGUGGCAAAGUGCCUACCUAGCAUGCAUGAGGCACUGGGUUCAAUUCUCAGCACCACA
Molecule: transfer RNA, 70 nt
Filed under: Marmota monax (woodchuck)
Lineage: Eukaryota; Metazoa; Chordata; Mammalia; Rodentia; Sciuridae
Description: tRNA.Ala
Source: RNAcentral